CCUACGGGAGACAGCAGUGAGGAAUAUUGGUCAAUGGGCGCGAGCCUGAACCAGCCAAGUAGCGUGAAGGAUGACUGCCCUACGGGUUGUAAACUGCUUUUAUAAAGGAAUAAAGUGAGGCACGUGUGCCUUUUUGUAUGGACUUUAUGAAUAAAGAUCGGGUAACUCCGUGCCAGCAGCCGCGGUAAGACGGAGGAUCCGAGGGUUAUCCGGAUUUAUUGGGUUUAAAGGGAGCGUAGAUGGGUUGUUAAGUCAGUUGUGAAAGUUUGCGGCUCAACCGUAAAAUUGCAAUUGAAACUGGCAGUCUUGAGUGCAGGUGAGGUAGGCGGAAUUCGUGGUGUAGCGGUGAAAUGCUUAGAUAUCACGAAGAACCCCGAUUGCGAAGGCAGCUUACUAAACUGCGACUGACACUGAUGCUCGAAAGUGUGGGUAUCAAACAGGAUUAGAUACCCGAGUAGUC
RNAcentral lists this ribosomal RNA (460 nucleotides) under uncultured bacterium. RNAcentral describes it as "partial 16S ribosomal RNA". It matches the Rfam family "Bacterial small subunit ribosomal RNA", at positions 338 to 795 of the family's 1533-position model. The record is from RNAcentral.